AAAAACGGAUAAUACGAACCUCAUAUAGAACGAUGAUACGGAUCGUUCGUCUCUACCCGGUCUCCGUAAAUGACUGGACUAUGAGGGGAGAAACACGGGUG
RNAcentral lists this non-coding RNA (101 nucleotides) under Salimicrobium flavidum. RNAcentral describes it as "Guanine sequence". It matches the Rfam family "Purine riboswitch aptamer". Rfam says of the family: Riboswitches are metabolite binding domains within certain messenger RNAs that serve as precision sensors for their corresponding targets. Lineage: Bacteria; Bacillati; Bacillota; Bacilli; Caryophanales; Bacillaceae. The record is from RNAcentral.